CUACGUAGGGGACGAGCGUUGUCCGGAAUUACUGGGCGUAAAGGGCGCGCAGGCGGAUAUUUAAGUCAGCUGUAAAAGGCAUGAGCUCAACUCAUGUAUGCGGUUGAAACUGGGUAUCUAGAGUGCUGGAGAGGUAGGCGGAAUUCCCGGUGUAGCGGUGAAAUGCGUAGAUAUCGGGAAGAACACCAGUGGCGAAGGCGGCUUACUGGCCAGCAACUGACGCUGAGGCGCGAAAGCCAGGGGAGCGAACGGGAUUAGAUACCCCGGUAGUCCUGGCCGUAAGCGAUGAAUGCUAGGUGUGGGUGUCGAGAGGCAUCCGUGCCGGAGUUAACGCGAUAAGCAGUCCGCCUGGGGAGUACGAGCGCAAGAUUGAAACUCAAA
RNAcentral lists this ribosomal RNA (381 nucleotides) under uncultured bacterium. RNAcentral's name for it is "partial 16S ribosomal RNA". It matches the Rfam family "Bacterial small subunit ribosomal RNA", at positions 523 to 905 of the family's 1533-position model. The record is from RNAcentral.